UGUUCUCAGGGCGGGGUGAAACUCCCCACCGGCGGUAUCGGGCGAAGCCCGGAGCCCGCGAGCGCUUCCGGUUCUGCCGGAAGGUCAGCAGAUCCGGUGCGAUGCCGGAGCCGACGGUUACAGUCCGGAUGAAAGAGAAC
RNAcentral lists this non-coding RNA (140 nucleotides) under uncultured Gellertiella sp. RNAcentral describes it as "FMN riboswitch (RFN element)". It matches the Rfam family "FMN riboswitch aptamer (RFN element)". Rfam says of the family: The RFN element is a highly conserved domain that is found frequently in the 5'-untranslated regions of prokaryotic mRNAs that encode for flavin mononucleotide (FMN) biosynthesis and transport proteins. This element is a metabolite-dependent riboswitch that directly binds FMN in the absence of proteins. In Bacillus subtilis, the riboswitch most likely controls gene expression by causing premature transcription termination within the 5' untranslated region of the ribDEAHT operon and precluding access to the ribosome-binding site of ypaA mRNA. Lineage: Bacteria; Pseudomonadati; Pseudomonadota; Alphaproteobacteria; Hyphomicrobiales; Rhizobiaceae. The record is from RNAcentral.